RNAcentral lists this long non-coding RNA (10192 nucleotides) under Homo sapiens (human). RNAcentral's name for it is "HSALNT0282066". The record is from RNAcentral. Lineage: Eukaryota; Metazoa; Chordata; Mammalia; Primates; Hominidae.
UGGGAGAGUCCUAAGCAAACUGGGAUGGUUGGUCACCCUAGAAUGUGGUCUUUUUUGGGAAGGCACAUGAAGGAGCCUUUUGAGGGGCCAGAAAUGUUCAGUAUCUUGAUAUGGAUGGUGGCCACGAGUAAAUACACGAGUGAAAAUUUAUCCAGCUAUGCACUUAAGAUAUAUGUGUUUAUGUAUGCAGUUUAUACUUUAAUUGAAAAUCUUUAAAAAUAGCUAUAUGUUACAAAGCACAGAGUAUGAAGAAAGCAAAGACAAUAGGGCCAUUAGAAUUUUGGUGGAUAACAAAAUGAAGGCCCGAUUUUCAUUUCUAAUGUUUGCUUGUUUUCUCUUUCAGGUGUUGGGACUUUGAUGGGAAAAAGGUGAAGCAAAAUGUGGUAAACAGGAAUGAAAAGCCAGAAUGAAUAAAGGAAGCCUUCAUUGUUCUGAGUGAGUUCCCCAGCCUGAGAGAUUCACAGAGACCUGGCAAAUGAUAUUGCUGAACCAUGGGCAGUGAAUGCAGAGAACAGAAAAGGGCAUACACCUUUGGAUCUCUGAGCCAUCAUGUAAGAAGUUCAGCUACCCUGAAGCCACCAUGUUGGAUUUGCCACUUAGAGACAGAGAUAUUUGAGGAACCCCAACUGUUCUGGGCUCCAGCUGUUUGAGUCUUUCCAGUCCAGGACUUUGAAAAUGUCAACCUACUCCCUCCUGACCUGUAUGGUUUCCAUUGAGAAUACCAAAUGAAUUGGAGCUCCUUUAGGUUAUUUGCUAAUUUUCUCUUGCUGCUUUUAGGAUCUUCUCUUUAUCGUUGUCCUUUGAGAGUUUGAUUAUAUCUUUUGAGGUAGUCUUAUUUGGAUCAUACCAAAAAUCAGUAGCAUUUCUAUAUGCCAACAGUGAAUAAUCUGAAAAAAAAAUAAAAGGGUAAUCCCAUUUAUAAUAACCAUGAAUAAAACUAAAUACCUUGGAAAUAAACUUAACCAAAGAAGUGAAAGAUCUUUCUAUAAUGAAAUCUAUAAAAAACUGAUGAAAGAAAUUGAGGAGGACACCAAACAUGGAAAAAUAUUCCAUGUUCAUGGAUUAGAAGAUUCAAUAUUGUUAAAAUGUUCGUACUACCCAAAGCAAUCUACAGAUUCAAUGUAAUCCCUAUCAAAAUACCAAUGUCAUUCUUCACAGAAAUGGAAAAAACAAUCCUAAAAUUUAUGUAGAACCACAAAAGAACCAGAAUAGCUAAAGCUGUCCUAAGCAAAAGGAACAAAACUGGAGGUAUCACAUUACCUGACUUCAAAUUAUACUACAGAACUAUAGUAACCUAAACAACAUGGUACUGGCAUAACAAACACAUAGACCAAUGGAACAGAAUAGAGAACCCAGAAACAAACCAAGACAUCUAGAGUGAACUCAUUUUCAACGAAUGUGCCAAGAACCUACACUGGGGAAAUACAGUCUCGUCAAUAAAUGGUACUGGGAAACCUGAAUAUACAUAUGUGGAAGAAUGUAACUAGACCCUUAUCUCUUUCCAUAUACAAAAAUCAAAUCAAAAUGAAUUAAAGAUUUAAAUAUAAGACCUCAUACUAUGAAACAACUGUAAGAAAACAUUGGAGAAACUCUCUAGGACAUUUGUCUGGGCAACAAUUUAUCGAGUAAUAUCACAUAAGAACAGGCAACCAAAGCAAAAAUGGACAAAUGGAAUCACAUAAAUUUAAAAAGCUUCUGUGCAGCAAAGGAAACAACAAAGUGAAAAGAUAACCCACAGAAUAGGAGAAAAUAUUUGCAAACUACUCAUCUGACAAGGUAUUAAUAACCAGAAUAUUUAAGGAACUCAAACAACUCUAUAAGAAAAAACUAAUAAUCCAGUUAAAAAUGGGCAGAAGAUUUGAACAGACAUUUCUCAAAAGAAGAUACACAAAUGACAAACAGGCAUAUGAAACAGUGCUCAACAUCAUUGAUCAUCACAGAAAUGCAAAUCAAAACUGCAAUGAGAUGUCAUCUCACCCCAGUUAAAAUAGCUUAUAUCCAAAAGAUAGGCAACAGCAAAUGCUGGCAAGGACGUGGAAAAAAGGAAACCCUCAUACACCGUUGGUAGGAAUGUAAAUUAGUACAACCACUGUGGAAAACAGUUUGGAGGUUUCUCGAAAAACUGUAAAUUGAGCUACCAUACAGUUUAGCAAUCCCAUUCCUAGUAUAUACCCAAAGAAAGGAAAUCAGGAUAUUGAAGAGGUAUCUGCACCUCCAUGUUUAUUGCAGCCCUAUUCACAAUAGCCAAGAUUUGGAAGCAACCUAAGUGUUCAUCAAGAGAUGAAUAAAUAAAGAAAAUAUGAUACUUACACAGAAUGGAGUACUAUUCAGCCAUAAAAAGAAUGAGAUCCUGUAAUUUGCGACAACAUGGAUGGGACUGGAGGUCACUAUGCUAAGUGAAUUGAGCCAGGCACAGAAAGACAAACAUCACAUGUUCUCACUUAUUUGUGGGAGCUAUAAAUCAAAGCAAUUGAACUAAUGGAGACAGAGAGUAGAAUGAUGGUUACCAGAGGCUGGGAAGGAUAGUGGGUGAGUUGGGGAGGUGGGGAUGGUUAAUAGGUAACAAAAAAAUUAGUUCAAAAGAAUGAAUAAGAUCUAGUAUUUGGUAUCACAACAGGGUAAAUAUAGUCAAUAAUAAUUUAGCUGUACAUUUUAAAAUAACUAAAAGAGUAUAAUUGGAUUGUUUGUAAUACAAAGGAUAAAUAUUGAGGGAUGGAUAUCAUAUUUCCCGUGAUAUGAUUAUUACGCAUUGCAUGCCUGUAUCAAAACAGCUCAUGUACCCCUUAAAUAAAUAUACCUACUAUGUACCCAGAAACAUUAAAAAUAAGAGGUUUUUUAAAAAAUAAAAAUAAAUAACAGUCACAUUACCGGGGCCCAAAUGAAUGAAAUUUUCAAAAUAGUAUUUUCAAAUCAAAAUGCAAAUAGGCUAAUUUCCUAGAUCCAAGUGCAUGCAUUUUUUUCUUCCUCUUUAUUAUACAUCUGCUUUUUCUUAAAUUUUAGCUUUUAAAGGUUCAUUUGACUGUCAGGCUCUAUUUUAUUACAGGCUCUUAUAAAUGGUUUCCUCACUGUUCUAAGAACAGGUUAUUUCUCCUGCAUUAUUCUCUGUGGGAACAGUUUCCUGCAGUUUGCUGAGAAUUGCUGUUUAGUUGAUGACAUUUUCACUUCUGCCUGGGUCUUGCUUCACAGUACCAAGCUGAAAAUUACCUCUCAACUUAAAGUCAUCGGUUUAAGAAUUUGAUAUUUCCAGAAAAACCAUUCCCAAUACCCACUCUCUCCUUCCUCUUUUCACCCAGGUCCCCUUUCUGCAUUUCUACUUUGUGGAUUAGAGCCUGACAGUUACAACAGACUUUGGAGUUUAAACUUUGUAUCACAAUUUGGUGUUCUUUUGAUUACAUGUUUAAGGUUCUUCUGCCUUUCCAUAAAGCUAGGAUUUUACACUCCCUCUCGGGAAUACCCUUUUAUUUUAGUCUUUGUUAAAUGAGAUUAUACCAAAGUUAUGUGCUUAAUAUAGCUGUUCAUCAAUAUAAUAUGAAUGUCAGGUAAAAUCCUAAAUGUAAGAAAAUAUAGCUUCAGUAACUAUAUCAGUCAAAAUCUAGUCAAGAAAAAGAAAUUCCACCAAGUAGUUUAAUUGAAGGCAUUUAAUAGUGGUGAUUAAAUGGCAAAAGUGUUAGAAGAGCCUGAAGAGCAAAUUAAAGAAGCACCCCUAGGGCUGAAGGCACUAUGAAAAAGAUAAUGUUAACAGAACACAGGAGCCAAGGCCACCUCGAGGGGACAGAAUCAUGACAGGAGCCUCCCAGCAAAAGCUGGGGCCAUGGAGGGACACAAUCACCAAUUAUUGCGAGGGAUACCACCUAAAGAAGGAUUGGGGGAUAGGCGGGAGAUUGAGCUGGCAAGCAUGAAUGAGCAUGGGAGAAAUACAUUGGUUUCCCCCUCUUUUAUCUCUAGUCUUUUACCAGGGCCUCCCACUAAUUGAAUCUAACCAGAAGCCUGGGCAGUAUAAUUUGCACCCUUCAAACCACCAUGAUACAGAGCAAAGCAAGGGAAAAAUGGGGAGUGGAUUGGAAAAACAAAUACACAGUAAUGGUAAUCACUUUGUUGAGCCUACUCCAGCCAUAGAGGUUAUUAGCAAAGGUGAAGAAGUGGGUGUUUGACAGAUAAGAGAUGUCUUGGGUAGGAGAGCUGCAUUCUUUGUAGAAUCAAGUACUUACAUGCUGUUCACUAUGGAUGGGACAGGAAACAGAAUGAACAACCCUUGCACUUAGAAAGCUAAUAGCCUAGCAGGAGAGUCAGGCCAUUAAAAUCUAUAAUAAACUUAUAUAUAUAUACACAAAAUAAUGUAUAUUAUAUAUUACUUAUAUUAGACUACUAUAUAGGUAUAGUAAUGUAUAAUAUAAAAUAUUUAUUAUGUAUUUAUAAUAGAUAAGGCACUAUGGGAACAUAUAGUUGGGAGACCUAAUCUCCUGGGACAAUCAGAAGGUUUCCUGGAGGAAAUAAUUAAGAAUGAGUGGGAGAUGGAAGCAGAAAAUGAAAAGUACAAGAAAGGGAGGAGAUGAAUUCAGACCAAGGAACAGCAUGCACAUUGUGGCUUGAAGUGGGAAGAGAGGAAAUGCUGAGACAGAACAAUGGCUGUGGGGAGAAGCAGGGGAUGUUGCUGGAAUUGGAACUGGGGAGGAAGGCUAGAUGAUGUCACAAAGGGCUUUGUGGGCUGUGUUGGAGUUUAGACCUUAUGCUAAAGGAGAUAGGAUGUUGCUGAAAGGUUUGAACUAGGGAAAUAACAAUCAGAUUUAUGGUUUAGAAAGGUCGUUCCAGACUGGUGGUUGGGAGAGCAGUCUGCUGAACACUGACACAGUACCUGGAGAUACACAGAUGGAUAUGGUGGUACCCAAGAGUGCCCACACUCUAGUGUGGGAAAAACUACAUUAAAAAUUGUCCCAUGAUGUCAUGUGAAGGAGGUAACAAUGGAGGUUUGACCAUAAUUCUAUGAAAAGACACAGGGAGAAGCUUGUAGUUAUUCCUGCUGAGUGGCUGGGUGGGUGGGUAGAAGGUUUCUUAAACUAUAUGCCUUGCAAAAUUAGUCAGAUUAAUCAACCAAUUGUAAUGUUGAUGGAAGUGGGACGGGUAGGGUUGUGGGAUUCUCACAGAAGAAACAUCAUGGAUAAAGGUAUGGAAAUGUGAAGAUGCAGGGUCUGUUCAGAGGAGAGUAAAACCGGGGUCUCCUAAAACCCUGGCACAACUGGAAAGACUUGGGAUAUUUCUUGGGUGAGAAGGUUUCUGGUAUUGAAUUUCCACUUUCUUUUUCAUGAGUCAGACAGGCAGAGCAUUUGGCUGGUAGGACAAGGGCUUUGUUAGUGGGGUUGGGGGGUCUGGGGUGCAGUAGAGUGCUUAGUUGGUCCAGGGGUUUGAUGCCACGAAGCUUGCCCACAUCCAUCUGGGGAGCUGAAUCAUGGCUUACAUUUCUGGUUGAUCCACUGGAAGUAGAAUAUUGCUAAGGGACACUCAGAGGACUUUAAGCAGGGUCUCAGAUCUCUGCGCUUUCUGGUGGAACCCAGUAAUUCAGAUAAUGUGGCUUCUGAGAAUUGUUCCCAAAAUGGGAGAAAAUAGCUUAUGGUAAACACGAACAAAUCAAUGACUUCCAUGCUGUGGUUAUGGUUAAAAGAUUUUUAAUAUUUUUUUGUUAGGAGGAACCAUCAUAUGUAAAAAGGAGUUCAUUGUAUCUGCUCAAACCCAUGUCACUGUCCUAUAGUCUGAAUUUUUGCUGUGAACACUAAAGAAAACAUUUAGCAAAUUGAAGUCAACCAUGCAAUGCAGCAAAAAUUCUAAUAAUGCUUUGCAUCUCUUCCCCAACUCAGAGGCACUGAGAGAAACAGAAUGUGCCUCAAGAUGGAGCCCUUGAACCACAAAGUUUAGAAGCAAAUUCAGUGACUUUGUAAACUUGCCAGGCACAGGCAAAGUUGCAGCUGCUGGUCAAAGCUGGUGGCAUUUCUCAUGUAGAAAUCAGAAGGUGUGGGAAAGCGGUAUCCCCUAUCCCCUAAAGCUUUCACGAGGGCCAGGCAAACCUGAGGGGCAGGCUGGUAUGGCAGUUUUCAGACUUGGGCUCCAACAGCUCACAGGGUUAUAAAGUUAAAUCAACAGGAUAAAUAAUUUUACUUGUAUUAAUAAAUAUACUUAUUUCUCUAACAAAGUACAUAUUUCCCUCUUCUUAAGCCCAUCUCAAAUGGUAAAAUCACUACUUGAAAUUUUAAUAAUCCUCUGUGAUCCCUAGUAGGUUCUUACUGGUAUAUAAGUACUUUCCUUAGACAUGAGGGAAUGACACACAAAGGAAGCAUCAAGUAGGAGGCUACUGCAAUACCCAAGUAAAUGGGAUGCUCCUCACAGCAGGGCAGUUUCCCUGCUGCCUAGAGAGGAAGGUGGCUCAAUGCAGGAAGAAGAGCUAGGGCCUCAGCAUCUGCCAUGUCUAGGCUAGAGUCUGUCUCUGUCCUUUCCUAGCUAUGUACUCUCAGGCUGGCUUCUCAACCUAAUGAUAACACUUCCAGAUCUUAAGGAUUGAAGAUAAUGCAUUAAAGUGCCUGAGGCUUGUGCCUAUGAAUAAAGUGCCUACUACUGGUUACUGUUGGAGCAGCCAUGUCUACAUGUUCAAGCUGUGCACUGAACAAGACAUCACAUGUAUGGAGGUGCCAUUCACACUUUAGACAUAUGAUGUAUAUCAAUGCAGGUGAGCCCCAGAGCAACACCCUUUACAUCGACCCACACUGGUCCAUGCAGCCAUGUGCUUAUGGGGCAAGCAUGUGGACAGGCAUGAACUAUUGCACAUGUUUGCAAAGCUGUUACCUGCCCUGACUAUACCUAUUCUUUCGCCCCUCCCACCUGCAGACCCAAAUAGAAAUCUGAUACAGUCACCCCUCCCACUUUGGCAGGGAAGGUUCAGUAAAUAGGCUGUUAUUACCAGGAGCCUGCAUGACUCAAGCAAGCAGGUAAGCAGGGGUUCUUGGAUAACAGCUCAGGCUGUGCAGCGUCUUUGCCUGGUUCCUCACAAGCCUUUCAUGCUCUAGCCAAUGGCUUAGGAAUGAUCCAUGGAACUGCCUUUGGGGAGUUUUCAGCUGGAUGGUAGCAAUCUUCCCAGCAUUAACCCCAUCCCCACCCUUCCCACUCUUCUACAAGUGGACCAUCGGCCACAUAAAGGGCCAUAUGCCACACUUUUUCUGGCCCAGCUGUGUAAGCUUGUCCACCUUAGCUACUGCUAAGUGACAUCAGGGUCUAUCACAUUAUCGAUAGCACAGACUUUUGUUUGCUGAUAUCCUAUUAAUUAAUUACACUUAGUAGUGCUUUGUACAAUUUUUAGAUAUUGUUAUCCUUGUGUUCUUUCUACUUCUCAUCUUCUUUCAUUUUUUCCUUUUUUCCCCUAAUAAUCCUCUUUGCCUUUUUUCUUUCUUACUGAGGUUAUGUCUUUCUUAUAACUUUGUCCUUCCCCAUCUUCUCUUCAUUCCUCAUGUCAGUUUUCUCUUCUCAGUCCAUAGCUCUUCUCUUCUCCAUGUUUCUUCUUCUUUCUUGUUCAAUUCCUUCCCCUCUCUCUAUGCUUUCCUUCCCACUCAGUUUUUUCUUUCAUUCAGUUUUAUUUCCUCCUCCACCCUCACAAGCACCUUCUCGAUUUUUCCCUCCCUUAUUCAAUAGCUUAGUUUCUCCCAGGGAUACUGGCGUUAAAGAGUUCUGGUAGAUGGAAAGUCACAAAGGUGGGGGCGCUAGGUGCCCAUUUGGUCCAAGCCAGGUCCUGCAAAUGUCCAUUUCACUUCAAAUCCUUAAAACAAAGACUAAUGGAAUCCAGAGAAGUGGCCAUCAUGGAUCUAGUCUAUAGAAAAUGUGUAAAUUCCCUGUAGCACUGGAGCUGAGAAUUUAGACCUAGCCCAGGUUCAAAUCAAAGUUCAUGGCUCUUUUCCGCUUGAAAUUACAGAGAAGUCAUAGAGUCUCUUUAGGACUAGCCUGAUGGUCUUGACCUUUUUUGAAUGUCAGGGUCUCCUUUGAGAGUGUGCUGAAACUUUUGAAUCCUCUUCUCAGAAGAAUGCACAUGAGCUUAAGAUUUUGCUUACAAAGUUAAGGAGUCCACAGACAUCCUGAAGUCCAUUCAUGGGUUCUCCAGAAGCCCUUUGGCUGGAGGUUGGACCAUAUAAAUUCAAACUCCAAAGGAUGACUUGUCUGCUUGGGCCGGCAAUUGGUGUGAUAAAUUGUAAGGUGGAGAACUGAGGCAAAAUGUUGCGUUUCAAUACUAGAGCUAAAGACUCUGGUAAGAGUUUUCUAGAUUGAGGAGAUAGAUAUUGGUCAGGUUUUGCCUGCUCUAUGAAUUUCCUGCUCAAAGUGAAGACAGGAGCCUUCACAUUUCAUAGUUUGUCCUUUUCUGGCCAUUUGGAAACCUGACUGUUUUGACUGUACAAACUUACAGCUGGGGCCUGAGCAGUGAGCAGAAUGGAAUGUCUAUCAGGACAGCCGUAGAUUUCCACAGCUUCCUGCUUUCGUCAGCUUCAGCUUAACAUCUAUUAUUGUGAAGAGUAGGGUAAGGAGGUCAUUUUCUUUGUCCAAACUUUUUGAUUCAAGGUGGUUUUUUCCAUGUGAAAAAUAAACGUGGGAGGAAAUAAUCCCAUUUAUCCAUUUUGGGGAAUAAUUUAUUUGAGAAGUCUGAACUCUGGGCCCAUUUUAUUGAAUCAGUAUGGCCCUGUGAAGUAUAUUAUGGUUUAAUUUUAGUCAUGGUGCUUAUGCUUUGUUUGUACCCUUGGUGCAAAUUUAGUGUUUUCUAAUUAAUUUGUUUUCUUCUUCUCUCUGCUAAUUAGGUCUUCCAAGUUUAUAAGAAGAAUCAGAUUUCCAAGAGCAAUUUACCCCUUUCUUCAUUCUGUUAGGCAUUAUUUGGAAUGGCUUUUCUUCGAUGAAUUCAAUUAACAGGCUGGAGUGCAGCGGCGUGAUCUCGGCUCACUACAACCUCCACCUCCCGGGUUCAAGCGAUUCUUCUGCUUCAGCCUUCUCCUGAGCAGCUGGGAUUACAAGUGCGCACCAUCAUGCCUGGCUAAUUUUUGUAUUUUUAAUAGAGACGGGGUUUCUCCAUGUUGGCCAGGCUCGUCUCAAACUCCUGACCUCAGGUGAUCUGCCCACCUCGGCCUCCCGAAGUGCUGGGAUUACAGGUGUGAGCCACUGCACCCAGCCUAAAGAGAAUAUUUUCUCAAUUAAAAAUACUAUAGUCUUCAGAAAAGAAUCAAUUAAAGUGAUGAGAAAUUUCAAAUAUAUUAACUACAAACUGCAACUUUGAAAAAUAUUGCAGGCAAUUUUAUUAAGUUCUACAGAGAAAUGUCAGUAACAUGGUAUUAGAAAUAAAUAUAGCUGAUAAACAGAUUAAAGUUUAUGAAUAUAUACCAAGAAUAAUUAUUCUGCUUAUGUAAUUUUAAUUUUGGAAAACCAUUUUGAAAAGUUUGUUACAUGAAAUGUUAUUUUUAAAAGAAUUUCAUAUUUGAAAAUAGUUUGAAUAUAUAAUUUUUAAGUAUUUUCAAUGCAAUUAGUCCAAUUUUCUGAUCAAUAAAUAUCUUUUAAAAGUAUGUAACUUUAUUGUUUUCAUUUCAAAAUGUUUCAGUUUGGAAAUUAUACAAUCAUCCUACAUAACCAGGCAACACAAAUCACAUAAAAAUACGUAUGCCCUCAGCGACACUGUGCUAUCUUCUAACUAGGUUUCCUUCUGUGUGUACUUAAGUGUGUGUGAUAUCAAAAAUUCACGUGAAUGGCUUUAUAUUUGACUUGAUGACCCAGAGUACUAUUGAGCAAGAAAUAGCAUUGCCCUGGGUAUGCUAUUUGAUCAGAAUCUACCUUGUCUGUCAUUCCUUCUUGCAUACUUGCUUUCUGUUUUUCUGAACUUCUCUGACUAUAAGGUUCUAUCUGUUUUCUUUUCUUGCUUGUACUUUGUCAGAAAACUAAUUUGCAGUCAUUCAUACUAGUAUUUACUGAGUGAGGUGAUUCUAACAUCAUGUAGAAACAGUUGAAUCAAAUCCUACCAUACCAUUGAUUAACUGGGUAAACUUUGGUAAAUCACUUAAUGUCUCUAAAUGCGAUGUUCUUAUUUGUGAGACAUGGAUGAUAAUAUCUGCCAUGUACAUUGUUGCAAGUAUUUUAAAAAUGAUAUUUGUAAGCAUUUAAAAAUAUUAUAUUUUAAAAUAUAAUAUAAUUA